UCCUCAGUAGCUCAGCGGUAGAGCGGUCGACUGUUAAUCGAUUGGUCACAAGUUCGAAUCUUGUCUGGGGAG
RNAcentral lists this transfer RNA (72 nucleotides) under Leptolyngbya sp. RNAcentral describes it as "tRNA-Asn". It matches the Rfam family "tRNA". From Rfam's summary of the family: Transfer RNA (tRNA) molecules are approximately 80 nucleotides in length. Their secondary structure includes four short double-helical elements and three loops (D, anti-codon, and T loops). Lineage: Bacteria; Bacillati; Cyanobacteriota; Cyanophyceae; Leptolyngbyales; Leptolyngbyaceae. The record is from RNAcentral. RNAcentral also lists the same sequence under 12 other names.